This 253-nucleotide ribosomal RNA is filed under the name uncultured bacterium. RNAcentral describes it as "partial 16S ribosomal RNA". It matches the Rfam family "Bacterial small subunit ribosomal RNA", at positions 524 to 776 of the family's 1533-position model. The record is from RNAcentral.
UACGUAGGGUCCGAGCGUUGUCCGGAAUUAUUGGGCGUAAAGGGCUCGUAGGCGGUUCGUCACGUCGGGAGUGAAAACUCGGGGCUUAACCCCGAGCCUGCUUCCGAUACGGGCAGACUAGAGGUAGGCAGGGGAGAGCGGAACUCCUGGUGUAGCGGUGGAAUGCGCAGAUAUCAGGAAGAACACCCGUGGCUAAGGCGGUUCUCUAGUACGGUACUGACGCUGAGACGCGAAAGCGUGGGGAGCGAACAGG